UGUGGCCAAAUCUCAUCCCUGGCCUGGGUUGAGAUUUGGCGCCCAGAGCCACCAGGGGCCUCAGCUCACCUCCCGCUACCACGGUGUGGGAGUGUGAAACCCAGGCCCCAAUGAGC
RNAcentral lists this small nucleolar RNA (116 nucleotides) under Nannospalax galili (Upper Galilee mountains blind mole rat). RNAcentral describes it as "Small nucleolar RNA ACA64 (ENSNGAG00000008236.1)". It matches the Rfam family "Small nucleolar RNA ACA64". The record is from Rfam by way of RNAcentral. Lineage: Eukaryota; Metazoa; Chordata; Mammalia; Rodentia; Spalacidae.